GGGCUGUUAGCUCAGUUGGUUUAGUCCGCCAGCUGGCGGAUGACAGGGUGGCGUCACUGGUUCGAAUCCAGUACAGAUGG
RNAcentral lists this transfer RNA (80 nucleotides) under Sunxiuqinia dokdonensis. Its description in RNAcentral is "tRNA-OTHER". Lineage: Bacteria; Pseudomonadati; Bacteroidota; Bacteroidia; Marinilabiliales; Prolixibacteraceae. The record is from RNAcentral.